This 273-nucleotide ribosomal RNA is filed under the name uncultured bacterium. Its description in RNAcentral is "partial 16S ribosomal RNA". It matches the Rfam family "Bacterial small subunit ribosomal RNA", at positions 524 to 796 of the family's 1533-position model. The record is from RNAcentral.
UACGUAGGGUGCGAGCGUUGUCCGGAAUUAUUGGGCGUAAAGGGCUCGUAGGCGGUUUGUCGCGUCGGGAGUGAAAACAUCCAGCUUAACUGGGUGCUUGCUUUCGAUACGGGCAGACUUGAGGCAUGCAGGGGAGAAUGGAAUUCCUGGUGUAGCGGUGAAAUGCGCAGAUAUCAGGAGGAACACCGGUGGCGAAGGCGGUUCUCUGGGCAUGUCCUGACGCUGAGGAGCGAAAGUGUGGGGAGCGAACAGGAUUAGAAACCCCCGUAGUCC